This 407-nucleotide ribosomal RNA is filed under the name uncultured bacterium. RNAcentral's name for it is "partial 16S ribosomal RNA". It matches the Rfam family "Bacterial small subunit ribosomal RNA", at positions 30 to 526 of the family's 1533-position model. The record is from RNAcentral.
AUUGAACGCUGGCGGCAGGCCUAACACAUGCAAGUCGAGCGGCGGAGCAGAGGCGGGAGUAAUGCCUAGGAAUCUGGCUGGUCGCGGGGGAUAACGUUCGGAAACGGGAGCUGAUACCACAUACUAUCAGAUGAGGCUAGAUCGGAUUAGCAAGUGGGUGGGGUAAAGGCCUACCAAGGCGAAGAUCCGUAACUGGUCUGAGAGGAUGAUCAGUCACACUGGAACUGAGACACGGCCCAGACUCCUACGGGAGGCAGCAGUGGGGAAUAUUGGACAAUGGGCGAAAGCCUGAUGCAGCCAUGCCGCGUGUGUGAAGAAGGCCUUCGGGUUGUAAAGUACUUUAAGUUGGGAGGCGUUACCAGCAGAAUAAGCACCGGCUAACUUCGUGCCAGCAGCCGCGGUAAUUC